This 468-nucleotide ribosomal RNA is filed under the name uncultured bacterium. Its description in RNAcentral is "partial 16S ribosomal RNA". It matches the Rfam family "Bacterial small subunit ribosomal RNA", at positions 28 to 507 of the family's 1533-position model. The record is from RNAcentral.
GACGAACGCUGGCGGCGUGCUUAACACAUGCAAGUCGAACGGAAAGGCCCUGCUUUUGUGGGGUGCUCGAGUGGCGAACGGGUGAGUAACACGUGAGUAACCUGCCCUUGACUUUGGGAUAACUUCAUGAAACUGGGGCUAAUACCGGAUAGGAGCUCCUGCUGCAUGGUGGUGGUUUGAAAGUUUCGGCGGUUGGGGAUGGACUCGCGGCCUAUCAGCUUGUUGGUGGGGUAGUGGCUUACCAAGGCUUUGACGGGUAGCCGGCCUGAGAGGGUGACCGGCCACAUUGGGACUGAGAUACGGCCCAGACUCCUACGGGAGGAAGCAGUGGGGAAUAUUGCACAAUGGGCGGAAGCAUGAUGCAGCAACGCCGCGUGCGGGAUGACGGCCUUCGGGUUGUAAACCGCUUUCGCCUGUGACGAAGCGUGAGUGACGGUAAUGGGUAAAGAAGCACCGGCUAACUACGUG